This 282-nucleotide small RNA is filed under the name Pongo abelii (Sumatran orangutan). Lineage: Eukaryota; Metazoa; Chordata; Mammalia; Primates; Hominidae. The record is from RNAcentral.
GCUGGGCGUGGUGGCUCACGCCUGUAAUCCCAGCACUUUGGGAGGCCGAGGUGGGAGAAUUAUUCGAGGCCAGGAGUUCGAGACCAGCCUGGCCAAUAUGGUGAAACCCUGUCUCUACUGAAAAUACAAAAAUUAGCUGGGCGUGGUGGCGGGUGCCUGUAAUCCCAGCUACUCAGGAGGCUGAGGUGGGAGAAUCGCUUGAACCCAGGAGGCGGAGGUUGCAGUGAGCCACGAUCCCACCACUGUACUCUAGCCUGGGCAACAGAAUGAGACCCUAUCUCA